Molecule: ribosomal RNA, 347 nt
Filed under: Collops bipunctatus
Lineage: Eukaryota; Metazoa; Arthropoda; Insecta; Coleoptera; Melyridae
Description: partial 12S ribosomal RNA
Source: RNAcentral
UUUUAAAUGUAUAUAUUAAUUUAGAUUAUUAUAAGUUAUGGUCUUUAAAAUUAAAAAAUUUGGCGGUAUUUUAGUCAGUUUAGAGGAACCUGUUUAUUAAUUCGAUAAUCCACGAUUUAAGAAACUUAUUUUAUAAGUUAAUAUAUCGUCGUUUUUAAUUAUUUUAAAAGAAUUAAAUAAUUAAGAUUUUAAAUUAAAAAUUAUAUCAGAUCAAGAUAUUGCUAAUAAAUAAGAUUUAAUGGGUUACAGUAAAAAUAUAUUUAGAUAACAAUAUUUAAAAAUUGUUUGAAAAUGGAUUUAAAAGUAAUUUAAUAUAAUUAUAUUAUAUGAUUUUGCUCUAAAAUAUG